GAAGCGGCCACACCCGGCUUGCAACAUCCAGCUCCCACUCCGAAACCUGGAAAUUAAGCAGUCGCGGGCCACAUCAGUACUGGGCUGGCGACUUCCCGGGAACGUGCGGUGCUUGCUUC
Molecule: ribosomal RNA, 119 nt
Organism: Trichomonas vaginalis G3
Lineage: Eukaryota; Parabasalia; Trichomonadida; Trichomonadidae
Source: RefSeq, a predicted model, not a curated record